GACGAACGCUGGCGGCGUGCUUAACACAUGCAAGUCGAACGAUGAAGCUGGAGCUUGCUCCGGUGGAUUAGUGGCGAACGGGUGAGUAACACGUGAGCAAUCCGCCCUUGACUCUGGGAUAACUGCGGGAAACUGUAGCUAAUACCGGAUAUGAGGCUUGGAGGCAUCUCCAGGUCUGGAAAGAAUUUCGGUCAAGGAUGAGCUCGCGGCCUAUCAGCUAGUUGGUGAGGUAAUGGCUCACCAAGGCGACGACGGGUAGCCGGACUGAGAGGGUGACCGGCCACACUGGGACUGAGACACGGCCCAGACUCCUACGGGAGGCAGCAGUGGGGAAUAUUGCACAAUGGGCGAAAGCCUGAUGCAGCAACGCCGCGUGAGGGAUGAAGGCCUUCGGGUUGUAAACCUCUUUUAGCAGGGAAGAAGCGAAAGUGACGGUACCUGCAGAAAAAGCACCGGCUAACUACGUGCCAGCCGCCGCGGUAA
Molecule: ribosomal RNA, 483 nt
Filed under: uncultured bacterium
Lineage: Bacteria
Description: partial 16S ribosomal RNA
Rfam family: Bacterial small subunit ribosomal RNA
Source: RNAcentral